AUUCACUCCCCAUGUUUCUUUUGUCGGUAUUGUCCCAUCUCUUCCAUAGAUAAUAACUUUUGAGUGGUGGUGAGUGGUAGGUUACUGAAUGAAUAAUGUACUUAUUGUAGUGUGGAGUGAGGCUGCAAUUGCAACGAUGAAAAACCUGCAAAGGACAAUGCAUGACAAGUGACUAGAGACGAGGACAACAGGUUGGUAUCAUAUCUCCACUCCAAGACUUCCCCUUCGUUUGCAGCAAAGUGGCGUGCAUGUAGAGCAAAGAUGGAAAGAGUACGGAGCACAACUACAACUGCUUAAUUUUGAUUUAAAUGUAAUUUAUGCACCUUUUUUCUCUUCCUCUUUUUGUUUUUAACUUCCCCAUUACUCUUUAGAUAUAUAUCAGAAUGUAUGCUGUACAUAGAACUAGCACCUAUAUGUAGUGUUUGUAGUCAUAUUAUUAACUACUAUAUCUCAUCUCAUCUAGCUUUGACUGACA
Long non-coding RNA from Glycine soja, 475 nucleotides. RefSeq lists it as uncharacterized. The transcript is spliced from 2 exons. Lineage: Eukaryota; Viridiplantae; Streptophyta; Magnoliopsida; Fabales; Fabaceae. The record is from RefSeq and is a predicted model, not a curated record.